RNAcentral lists this long non-coding RNA (439 nucleotides) under Mustela putorius furo (domestic ferret). RNAcentral describes it as "lncRNA (ENSMPUG00000029225.1)". Lineage: Eukaryota; Metazoa; Chordata; Mammalia; Carnivora; Mustelidae. The record is from RNAcentral.
UGCAGAUUCUUUAUCCUAGAGUAUGGAGCCUCCCCCAUAGCUGGUUCAGGCACAGGUCACCGAGCCCACCUUGCCACUAGCUGUCUGCAGAUCAGUGACCAAGCAGAAGAGCAAACGGUGUGGCCUCAUCUUCCAAUACACUGUGAAGAGAGAAGGCUGCCGGCAGCUCCAGACUUACAAUGCAAUCAUGUGUUUCUCUCCACAAGCUCCUGUCAUGUCCCAGGAUUCACUCUGCUUAGCUCAACCUGGCUCACACGGUCAUCUCUGAACUGUGCUGUAAAGGCAAGCUCUGAUCUGGCUGGUCUCAGAUCACACGGACCACCCCCAAAAUCAGGGAGAGGUGCAUCACAGAACUGGUGACAGAGAAGGUCGACUAGAAGCUGAGUCAAUUUAAAAAGCACCAAAUGUCUCAAAAGAAUGAAUAAAACAUAGAAAGAAC